CCUUACCUGGCCUUGACAUACUAAGAACUUUCCAGAGAUGGAUUGGUGCCUUCGGGAACUUAGAUACAGGUGCUGCAUGGCUGUCGUCAGCUCGUGUCGUGAGAUGUUGGGUUAAGUCCCGCAACGAGCGCAACCCUUUUCCUUAUUUGCCAGCGGGUUAAGCCGGGAACUUUAAGGAUACUGCCAGUGACAAACUGGAGGAAGGCGGGGACGACGUCAAGUCAUCAUGGCCCCUACGGCCAGGGCUACACACGUGCUACAAUGGUCGGUACAAAGGGUUGCUACCUCGCGAGAGGAUGCUAAUCUCAAAAAGCCGAUCGUAGUCCGGAUCGCAGUCUGCAACUCGACUGCGUGAAGUCGGAAUCGCUAGUAAUCGCGGAUCAGAAUGCCGCGGUGAAUACGUUCCCGGGCCUUGUACACACCGCCCGUCACACCAUGGGAGUUUGUUGCACCAGAAGUAGGUAGUCUAACCGCAAGGAGGACGCUUACCACGGUGUGGCCGAUGACUGGGGUGAAGUCGUAACAAGGUAAGCGUAGAUGA
Molecule: ribosomal RNA, 541 nt
Filed under: uncultured bacterium
Lineage: Bacteria
Description: bacterial SSU rRNA
Rfam family: Bacterial small subunit ribosomal RNA
Source: RNAcentral